RNAcentral lists this long non-coding RNA (1144 nucleotides) under Amphibalanus amphitrite. Its description in RNAcentral is "uncharacterized LOC122393470, transcript variant X1". The record is from RNAcentral. Lineage: Eukaryota; Metazoa; Arthropoda; Thecostraca; Balanomorpha; Balanidae.
CAAACUACGGGGAGGUAAUCACGAACUUGAUUAAUCAAGUUCAUGAUUAUGACGUCAUGAAAAUGGGGCGUGGCAUGACCAUAUAAGGAGUUGUAAUCAAGAUUUUGAUUACUUUUCGUGCACCGAACUAUUCAAGUGUUUCGUUUCGAUUGUUAUAAUGUCCAUAUCGACACGAUUUUUUACCAGGUGAAACGCAAUAUUCUAUUCUCCCGAAAUGAUAUGGACCGGUAGCAGUGGGAUAUGUACUUUAGCUCAUAUGGCGAAAGAUAAACUGCUAGCCUAACUUUUUCAGAAAAGUGAUAUUUUUUAAAGCCCUUUUUAGGCGGAUAUUAUUCUUUUAUCCACAUUUUUACGUUUCUAAUUUAAAAAUAAAUCAUUGAACAUUCAUUUUACACACGUCUUAAAUUGGUCGUAAUAAAGAUUUCUUCGAAAAGGCACCGUCGCCUAUUAGCACGCCGCCAUUUGUCGUGUUGUCGGUGUGUGGGUGAGGCCGGAAAUUGGCGCCGAAUUAUUGGUAAUUUGGUUCUUAUAGCUCAUCAAAGCACCACCUCCUCGCUGUAGCAGUGGGCGUCGCCGUCACCACAGUAUUGUUCAGGAAGCUCGUGAUAAUGGUACCUAUGGUCUCACGUUGAGGAACGCUCAAUCAAAAAAUGAUAUGAUGAAUUUCUUUGGAAUUAAGCGGACUAAGUACAGCUACAUUUGUAUUAUGUGCAUCGCUCAUGCAAGACAGCAGGCCAGGAUGCAGGGACACACAGCUGCAGGGGAUGAGCUGGAGAACCUGCAUCGCAUUCUCCAAGAGACGACGGAAGCCAACGGAGGCCCGCAAAACUUUCCAUCCCAUAAUCGUGAAUGGAGAGCUGGGCGGGGAAGACGCGGUAUUCGUCGAGGCCCAGGAGGUGGUAUCGGCGCCACCAGACCAAGCAUUCCUGCUGUGGCAGGCCACCUUUUGGAUUUUUAACAUCAAAACUCCUAAAGACAUGGUCAAUCUGAAUUGGUUUCUGAGAACCAAAGUGUUUGGUGGGGUGAAGGCCGAUGUGCCGCCAUCAGCGGCGGCCAUUGCGACCGUGAAGCAAGUGGAGUGAGAUCCCCGUAGAGCAUGCCGCUGCGGGGUGUCGGAAGCGUUUGCCAAUUCUUUGAGCCUUCC